GGGACAUUAGUUAUGUGUUUUCCUUAUGGGCCUUGAAAGAAGGAAGAGGAAGGUGAUUCCCGUUGUAACUAAUAUGCUACUUUGCAUAUUACUGUCAAACCUGCCAGGUCACAGUUUAAUGUGCUUAACAACUUCCUCAUGUUCUCAAUCAUAAGAGGUAACAUCCUGUCACCAAGCUUGAGUAUCUGUUCUCUUUCGAUAUGGAAAGAUUCAAAUUAAUGGUGGGUGAGUUGACUCGCAUGAAACUGGCUGCCUAGCAAGACUGGAAUGUAUAAAAGUGCUGUUUACCUCAAACGAUACGUCCUCGGAGACAAUUUACCAUACUACAAAGAUCAAGAAAAUGGAAGGUAGAGUCAUUAACACUACAGAUACCUUUGAAUUGUGUGCAUGCUCUUCUGAGGCAUAUUACUACUUGACCUUAUUUUUAUAAAUUGAUAUUAAGGUUCAUAAGCAAUUGAAUGCAGACAAUGCGUGUAUAUAUGUGUGUAUAUUUGUUUUCCCGGGGAUUGUGGCGGAAAGUAGGUGCUGGAGGAAAUAAUGGUCGGAAGCAAAGGUUGAGUAAAAAUGCUAUGAUAUUAAUAAUACACACCAGUUAUGGGGUCUACUGUAUGGCGGGUACUUUGUUUAUGCUAUCUCAUUUAACCCUAAACAUUUUUUCUCACUUUUUAGAUGAACGUAGAGGAGAAAAGUUAAACCUCAGAGAAAUUAAGUAUGCCCUGGACUCUAAGGCAUCUUGCUAAUAAUUGACAGGGCUGACAUUUGACUCUUGGUCUGACACGAGAGCCAAUAUACUUUGAAAUAUGUCACAGAUCCUCACAUUGCAGACUCAUCUGGGCCAAGGUAAUCCCCGUAAAAGAGAACACAAAGCUGGGCCAUCGGCCAUGGUUGCCUGAGGAUAUAGACCUUUGGUCGGACAAGGGUUACAGGUAAUGUCACUCUGUAAGGCCAAGUAACAGGCCAACUUGCAAGCUGGUGGAGGAGUAAUCCAAUACUACCAAGUGUCCAAAGAGGAGACUCAGUGGGAUAGAAUUAACUAAAACUUGAGUCACUACUGCUAUGGCAUAACUCUUGGAACCUCUAACCUCCUUAAAAGAGCAUUCGACUCUCCCUUAGGAGGAAGCCCCACACCCGCACUGCUCUGAACUCUAGGGCUUUCCCAGGGAGCCCAGGGGCCUUUUUCAUCUGAAUUCCAACAUUCUGCGGGGAAACUAAACCUGCCCAACAGGUUCCGAAGAUGUAAAAAGCCCAGCAACAGGAAGCCAGUUGACCCCAUUUUUAAAACCCUAUUCAAAAUAGCCCUCACCCUUGCCUCCCUCUUGCCACUCAAGGUGAAAGGUAGCUGCAGAUCCUAUACAGUACAUAACUGGCCUCAGAUCUCCAGGAAGACCAGAUGAGCUCCCAUAUCAGAAGGCUGACUUUUCUACAGCAUUCAGUAGAAGUUAAAGGACCAAUGAACCACCCUCCUCUCUCCACCAGGUUCGUAACAAACUGAGACACACACACAGGACUCGAAGGAAGGAUCAGAAGGAAAGUCGAAUUGCUGUGGAGCUGGAUUGAGAACAAUAUUUGGACCCUGAAGGGGCUUACCAAUACACGGCCUCAUGGUGUGCACUGACUUUCCAGAUCUGUCUGUCACAGGCCCCUGCCCUGACCAGCAGAAACUUCCCAGGAACUUCGACAGAUGGAGAAGAGAACUUCCACCCCUUGGCAAGGUACAUGCAAGGGGAGAGAGUAAAAGAGGCCGUCACACGCAGUAAGUGGCCUCUGCCCGUAUAAAUUCCUUUGCAGGAGGAUCGUGGGUGAAUAACUGUCAGAUUCUUGCUACUUCACCAAUGAGAUAAGUCCCUCUUUCUCCCCAGGGUGGAGUAAGUAAUACAGAAGAAGGUCAAAGGUUAGUACCUUGCUACUCAAAGUAUACCCUUGGGCUGACAUGAUCACCCGAAAGCUUCUUGGAAAUACAGAAUCUCAGGCCCAUCCCUACCAAAUACCAAUGUGUGUUUCAACGAAUUCCCUGGGGUGAUUCGUGUACACAUGACCGUUUGAGAACCAGUGCUUAACUGAAGUACUUUAACAGGAAUCCCAGAACAGGGCAAAAAAAUUUCUCAGAAGCUGAAGUGAGGCGGCCGGGGGGCCAAAGCCAUCUUCAACAUUUCAUAGUGAAGCUUGGAAUUUUAAACUAGAGCCACAGUUUCAGUUGUUUCAAACUAAAUGAAUUGAAUACAUUCCUGGUCUGCUGUUAGCCUGUGUUUAGCCAAAGAGUUGGAAGCGAUCAACAGAAAAUAAUGAUUGCAUUUGUUCACUUAACAGGCCUCAGUUUCAAGCAUCUCAAAAACUGAGAAUCACCAUCAAAUGGGAGGCUCUAAAGGACAAAUACUGCUUGGUGGCCAAUCACAUGGACAGCUCCCCUGCCCAGCUUCUGGCUUCAAGGGAUCCAUACCACGUGAUCUUUAUUUUACAGGCAGCUUAGAACUGGAAACAAUCUGACAAUUCUCUCGAUGACAAGUCUAGUGCUUAGUGGCAGAUUUUGUCAUAUAUACGUGAACCCCAAUUGUUUACUCAAUUCUUCAAGAAUCCAAAUAUUGCAUUUAAUUUUCUAUCCCACAGCAUGGUCAGAAAUGCAAUCGGUUUUGCAACUUUCACAUCUACCAUACCAAAAAGUACUUUGAACAACGUUUAUGGGUCUCUCCCACAAACGCCAAUGGAAAAUUAUUGCCAGCAAGAGGCUUACCUCCUGGCUACCAUCUGCCCUGUUUGAAACAUUUCAAUCUCGGAUUGCAGGGGUUUUUUACAACUCGCUUCAGGGCUUUGGGGAAGACACUCUGCUUUGCCAACAGCAGGCUCCACUCUCUUUCCUGAAGUCUGUACCGCUUGUGAGCUGUUGGUAUUUCUUCAGGACCAUCGGCACAGGCACAGAGUGAUCGGAGGAUUGAGUCUUCAUGCCUGGUUAAAGAGAGAGAUUGGAAAGAGUGUUUAGCUGAUCAGAAAGGAAAUCUCUAACCCUUGCUACCCAGAACUGAACCGGUAUAAACUGGCACAUUCAAAAGAAGCUACUGGGUUUACUUAACAUUCCACUUGGUUCCCUGUUAAGAGUUCAAAGCAUGCUAUUGCUUAGUCCAGAGAAAACUAGUAAAUAGCGGGGUGUCGAAUAUUAUAUGAUAUAUAGCUUUUUUUGUAAUAGUAUUUACACAGAACCUGUCAGCAUAUUAACACAAGGCAUUUUCACAGUAAGCUAUUUUAGAAGCG
RNAcentral lists this long non-coding RNA (3243 nucleotides) under Lynx pardinus (Iberian lynx). The record is from RNAcentral. Lineage: Eukaryota; Metazoa; Chordata; Mammalia; Carnivora; Felidae.